RNAcentral lists this ribosomal RNA (492 nucleotides) under uncultured bacterium. RNAcentral's name for it is "partial 16S ribosomal RNA". It matches the Rfam family "Bacterial small subunit ribosomal RNA", at positions 29 to 507 of the family's 1533-position model. The record is from RNAcentral.
AGUGAACGCUGGCGGUAGGCCUAACACACGCAAGUCGAACGGCAGCACAGUAAGAGCUUGCUCUUACGGGUGGCGAGUGGCGGACGGGUGAGGAAUACAUCGGAAUCUACUUUUUCGUGGGGGAUAACGUAGGGAAACUUACGCUAAUACCGCAUACGACCUACGGGUGAAAGCAGGGGAUCUUCGGACCUUGCGCGAUUGAAUGAGCCGAUGUCGGAUUAGCUAGUUGGCGGGGUAAAGGCCCACCAAGGCGACGAUCCGUAGCUGGUCUGAGAGGAUGAUCAGCCACACUGGAACUGAGACACGGUCCAGACUCCUACGGGAGGCAGCAGUGGGGAAUAUUGGACAGUGGGCGCAAGCCUGAUCCAGCCAUACCGCGUGGGUGAAGAAGGCCUUCGGGUUGUAAAGCCCUUUUGUUGGGAAAGAAAAGCAGCAGGUUAAUACCCCGCUGUUCUGACGGUACCCAAAGAAUAAGCACCGGCUAACUUCGUG